Molecule: long non-coding RNA, 961 nt
Filed under: Phasianus colchicus (ring-necked pheasant)
Lineage: Eukaryota; Metazoa; Chordata; Aves; Galliformes; Phasianidae
Description: lncRNA (ENSPCLG00000021329.1)
Source: RNAcentral
GAAGGGAGGUCUGGGGAGGUCUAGGCAAGAAACCAGUAUUCCCACUCACUAACAAUCAAAAAAGAGAUGUUCCUGAGUGAUGUACUCAGUGCCUUCAGUUCUCACUGGGGUAGAGUUCCUUUGGGACUAUUUUCCUGUGUCUUUAGGGGAUGUAACCAAAUUAUACCACAUGAGAGCUUGUAAUUUUAAUGCGAUGCUGUAAGGGAAAACUAUAAACAUAACAGGAAAGACUGGAUGUUUUCCAUUCAUAUUUUUAGAAAGGUUGUUUCUCAUCUGUACACAUUAGUUUUCCAGCAUCUUUGGCAAGAUUUAAAUGAAUUAUUUAACUGGAAUUGAAAAGCAAGUCUUACUUCUAAAUUAAGCCAAUAAAAGCUCUUUUUUUUUCUUUUUUUUUUUUCCUUUUCUAAUUCUUAGAAUGUUACCACAGAAGAUAAAGAUCAAAUCCAGAUCCAAGAGGGGAUAAGGCUAUCAAAAUAUCAAACCUCUGAGAUGAUGGGUGGAAGGUAGUGCUUGGAGAGAGAUGACAAGCUAUGAUCAGAAGCGUGGUGUUGGAGGUAGUCACUGGAACAACAUCGCCCGAAAUUUGUGUCCACUUGAAAUGCUCCGUGUUUGUAAUCGCCGAGCAAGAAUGAGCAGGUCUUGGCUGUUGGCAUCUCUUUCACAAUAACUGAAGCAGGCUGAGUGAGAAGCGUACCCGAAAGAAAAGAGGGAGUUCAAAGAGAGCUGGAAGAUGGAGGCAAACAGGAAGAAUGAAAUGGAAGUGUCAAGUUUUUAAACAGAAAACAAAGAAGCCUAUAACCUAAAAACCCACAAGCCUAAAGGUAACAGUCAUUUCCUAUUUCUGUGAAAACUGUUGGGGUUUCUCUAAAGGAAGUGGGGUGUGGGGAGAGGACAGUUCCUGGUAUUUUCCUGAGAGUAGAAAGCAAAUAAAAGUUAUCAGGUUGCCUUUGUGACUGAAAUA